RNAcentral lists this ribosomal RNA (254 nucleotides) under uncultured bacterium. RNAcentral describes it as "partial 16S ribosomal RNA". It matches the Rfam family "Bacterial small subunit ribosomal RNA", at positions 524 to 776 of the family's 1533-position model. The record is from RNAcentral.
UACGUAGGGUGCAAGCGUUAAUCGGAAUUACUGGGCGUAAAGCGUGCGCAGGCGGUUGUGCAAGACCGAUGUGAAAUCCCCGGGCUUAACCUGGGAAUGGCAUUGGUGACUGCACGGCUAGAGUGUGUCAGAGGGGGGGUAGAAUUCCACGUGUAGCAGUGAAAUGCGUAGAGAUGUGGAGGAAUACCGAUGGCGAAGGCAAUCCCCUGGGCCUGCACUGACGCUCAUGCACGAAAGCGUGGGGAGCAAACAGG